UGGCAUUGUAGGUUAGGUCAUGUUAAUAAGAAUAGAAUAAACAGGUUGACACAAGAGAAAAUCUUUGAAGUCAAUGAUUGUGAAUCACUCCUAAUCUGUGAGUCUUGUCUUCUUAAAAAAAUGACCUAAUCAUCUUUUACUAAAAAAGAUGAGCAAGCCAGUGAUGUUCUAGGUCUGAUACAACUAAUAUCUGUGGACCAAUGAAUACUAGUGCCAGAGGUGGAUAUUAUUAUUUCA
Molecule: long non-coding RNA, 237 nt
Filed under: Elaeis guineensis (African oil palm)
Lineage: Eukaryota; Viridiplantae; Streptophyta; Magnoliopsida; Arecales; Arecaceae
Description: long non-coding RNA (EGUI_LNC055928)
Source: RNAcentral